GACGAACCGAGCGAACGUUGUUCGGAAUAACGGGGUUUAAAGGGCGCGUAGGCGGGCUGUCAGGUCUGGGAGGAAUUCCCGCGGCACAACCGCGGAACCGCCUCGGAUACUGACGGCCUCGAGGGGGGUAGGGGCGAGCGGAACUAAUGGUGGAGCGGUGAAAUGCGUUGAUAUCAUUAGGAACUCCGGUGGCGAAGGCGGCUCGCUGGACCUCUUCUGACGCUGAGGCGCGAAAGCUAGGGGAGCAAACGGG
RNAcentral lists this ribosomal RNA (253 nucleotides) under uncultured bacterium. RNAcentral's name for it is "partial 16S ribosomal RNA". It matches the Rfam family "Bacterial small subunit ribosomal RNA", at positions 524 to 776 of the family's 1533-position model. The record is from RNAcentral.